This 372-nucleotide ribosomal RNA is filed under the name Triticum aestivum (bread wheat). RNAcentral's name for it is "partial small subunit ribosomal RNA". Lineage: Eukaryota; Viridiplantae; Streptophyta; Magnoliopsida; Poales; Poaceae. The record is from RNAcentral.
AUGGACGAUGCCAGUUGUAGGCACACUGGAGGUAUUGGUGGUUGUCUGCUCGCACUUUCCAUAUGGAGCUGGGAGCGUUUGCCGGUUGGACGAUCUAAGACCGUGAAGUACGAGGAUUGGGACGAUAAAGACGACCCACUACGGCUCCCCACUUGGGCUUACAAGUGGGAUGUGUUAAAUGAGACGACGGAUGAUCCCUCUGUAAUGUACAAGUUGUACAAGAGCGAGCUGGACGCGAUCACGCCUGAGCAGGUGAACCGACCUUGCAUAAGUGAUUAUCAUGCUUGUAUCUUCACUCGAUAUCAAUUUUGCAUUCAAUCCCAUUUUGCAGAUGGAAUGGGAGCCGUAUGGAAAAGGAGAGAGUUUUGGUAA